RNAcentral lists this long non-coding RNA (744 nucleotides) under Salmo salar (Atlantic salmon). RNAcentral's name for it is "lncRNA (ENSSSAG00000098892.1)". Lineage: Eukaryota; Metazoa; Chordata; Actinopteri; Salmoniformes; Salmonidae. The record is from RNAcentral.
GUGGACACCUUGGCCCUGUGGAUCCUGGCCGUGGAGGGUGGACACAUUCGCCCUGUGGAUCCUGGCCGUGGAGAGAGGAGAGGACACCUUGGCCCUGUGGAUCCUGGCCGUGGAGAGUGGACACCUUGGCCCAGUGGAUCCUGGCUGUGGAGAGAGGACACCUUGGCCCAGUGGAUCCUGGCCAUGGAGAGUGGAGAGGACACCUUGGCCCAGUGGAUCCUGGCUGUGGAGAGAGGACACCUUGGCCCUGUGGAUCCUGGCCGUGGAGGGUGGACACCUUGGCCCUGUGGAUCCUGGCCGUGGAGAGAGGAGAGGACACCUUGGCCAUGUGGAUCCUGGCCGUGGAGAGUGGACACCGUGCAAAUUAGAGUCAUCACAAAGCAACAUCACUAUUGUAUCUAACGGCAAUAUUUUAUCUAUAAGUACAGAGAUUAGCUCGUUGACUUUCCCCCAGAAUUCAAUCACCCUGGGACAUUUCCACAGCACAUGUUGAAAAGUAGCAAGGUCCCCCUGUGGAGUAGAACUAACAUAAAGGUCCCCUGUGCAGCAGAACUAACAUAAAGGUCCCCCUGUGGAGCAGAACUAACAUAAAGGUCCCCCUGUGGAGCAGAACUAACAUAAAGGUCCCCCUGUGCAGCAGAACUAACAUAAAGGUCCCCCUGUGCAGCAGAACUAACAUAAAGGUCCCCCUGUGGAGCAGAACUAACAUAAAGGUCCCACUGUGCAGCAGAACUAACAUAAAGG